RNAcentral lists this ribosomal RNA (505 nucleotides) under uncultured bacterium. RNAcentral describes it as "bacterial SSU rRNA". It matches the Rfam family "Bacterial small subunit ribosomal RNA", at positions 21 to 518 of the family's 1533-position model. The record is from RNAcentral.
GGCUCAGACGAACGCUGGCGGCGCGUUUAAGCAUGCAAGUCGAGCGGCAAGGGCCUUCGGGCCCCUAGAGCGGCGGACGGGUGAGUAACACGUGGACAAUCUGCCCCCCGGCCCGGGAUAGCCCAGGGAAACCUGGAUUAAUACCGGAUGAGACGGGACCCGCGAUGGCGGGAUCCGGGAAAGGCGCUGCGGCGCCGCCGGGGGAUGAGUCUGCGUCCCAUUAGCUAGACGGCGGGGUAACGGCCCACCGUGGCGACGAUGGGUAGCCGGCCUGAGAGGGUGGACGGCCACAUUGGAACUGAGACACGGUCCAGACUCCUACGGGAGGCAGCAGCUAAGAAUCUUCCGCAAUGGGCGAAAGCCUGACGGAGCCGACGCCGCGUGAACGAAGAAGGCCGUGAGGUUGUAAAGUUCUUUUCGGGAGGGGAACAACCGUGGCAGGGAAUGGCCGCGGGAUGACGUGAAUCCCGGAAUAAGCCCCGGCUAACUACGUGCCAGCAGCCGC